Molecule: non-coding RNA, 26 nt
Filed under: Homo sapiens (human)
Lineage: Eukaryota; Metazoa; Chordata; Mammalia; Primates; Hominidae
Source: RNAcentral
UAGGGGUUCUGAGAAUCGCUCGGUUG